UGAUCCUACGGGAGGCAGCAGUCGGGAAUAUUGCGCAAUGGAGGAAACUCUGACGCAGUGACGCCGCGUAUAGGACGAAGGUUUUCGGAUCGUAAAGCUCUGUUGGUAGAGAAGAACGUUGGUGAGAGUGGAAAGCUCAUCAAGUGACGGUAACUACCCAGAAAGGGACGGCUAACUACGUGCCAGCAGCCGCGGUAAUACGUAGGUCCCGAGCGUUGUCCGGAUUUAUUGGGCGUAAAGCGAGCGCAGGUGGUUUAUUAAGUCUGGUGUAAAAGGCAGUGGCUCAACCAUUGUAUGCAUUGGAA
Molecule: ribosomal RNA, 305 nt
Filed under: uncultured bacterium
Lineage: Bacteria
Description: bacterial SSU rRNA
Rfam family: Bacterial small subunit ribosomal RNA
Source: RNAcentral